RNAcentral lists this transfer RNA (72 nucleotides) under Cordylochernes scorpioides. RNAcentral describes it as "tRNA-Thr". Lineage: Eukaryota; Metazoa; Arthropoda; Arachnida; Pseudoscorpiones; Chernetidae. The record is from RNAcentral.
UGUCCAGAGAUGGGAAUCGAACACACAGUGUUCCGCUUACCGGGCAGAUGCCAUGUCCACUAGGCUAUAGGC